This is a non-coding RNA of Paramuricea clavata, 607 nucleotides long. Lineage: Eukaryota; Metazoa; Cnidaria; Anthozoa; Malacalcyonacea; Plexauridae. The record is from the annotation of a GenBank genome assembly.
GAUAAACAAUAGUGAUAAACAAGUGGGCUUAUAUUCGGGGGGGGCUUAUACACGGGGGGCUUAUAUUCUGGGGGGGAGCUAAUAUUCGGAGGUUUACGCUAUUUACCUAUUAAAUCCAUAACCAAAACUUUCCAUACAAUAUCGUUCGAGAUAGCUUGGUAUAUGUAACUUCAAUUCUACGUGUCUCAAAAGUAUAUUUUUACACUAGGUACAUGAGAGCAGUUGCAUAUCGAUGGAUUAUUCGAUGGAUGUGUGGAUGUCUAGGUUGGCAAAACUCUAGGCCUUUACCAGCAUGUAUAUAUAUACCGAUAUCAGAAAACGAUUUCCAUUGGGGAUACCAUCAGAGUACACUGGCUACAUAUCUGCACAGAAAAGGAACUAGUCAUGACACUAUGGUAGACAAUUGCUAUGUUCAGAUCUGACAUCCACCAAAAUGAACUAACCAUCUGUUGAUUGUCUACCAUAUAUGCAGUUGGUGCAUCAAAAUAAAACACAUUGUUAUAUCUUCUUGAGAAUAUUAAAUACCUGCAAGGGAUGCAAGUUAAAUUAGCUUUUAAAUAUUGAGUAAAGACUUUUGUUGUUUUGCAUAUAUGAUAUGCAUAUCAAC